This 28-nucleotide small RNA is filed under the name Bombyx mori (domestic silkworm). RNAcentral describes it as "ovarian small RNA-8480". The record is from RNAcentral. Lineage: Eukaryota; Metazoa; Arthropoda; Insecta; Lepidoptera; Bombycidae.
UGCAAUUAUCAAUUGUGUCCUUUAUAUC